GUAAACCCAAGGUUUCCAGGGGAAGGUUCGUCCGCCCUGGGUUAGUCGGGACCUAAGCUGAGGCCGAAAGGCGUAGGUGAUGGACAACAGGUUGAUAUUCCUGUACUACCGAUAACCGUUUGAGAGAAGGGAUGACACAGUAGGAUAAGCUAAGCACACUGUUGGUUAUGUGUGCCCAAGCAUUGAGGCAGUCAAAGUAGGCAAAUCCGCUUUGAUAAUGCUGGGAUGUGAUGGGGAGCGAAAUUUAGUAGCGAAGUAGCUGAUUUCACACUGUCAAGAAAAGUCUCUAUCGAGGUUAAAGGUACCCGUACCGCAAACCGACACAGGUGGGUGAGGAGAGUAUCCUAAGGCCAGCGAGAGAACUGUUGUUAAGGAACUCGGCAAAAUGACCCCGUAACUUAGGGAUAAGGGGUGCCACCAUCAGGUGGCCGCAGAGAAUAGGCCCAAGCGACUGUUUACCAAAAACAUAGGUUUCUGCUAAGUCGCAAGACGAUGUAUAGGAGCUGACGCCUGCCCGGUGCUGGAAGGUUAAGGGGAUCUGUUAGAGCAA
RNAcentral lists this ribosomal RNA (550 nucleotides) under Clostridioides difficile. RNAcentral describes it as "bacterial LSU rRNA". It matches the Rfam family "Bacterial large subunit ribosomal RNA", at positions 1339 to 1898 of the family's 2925-position model. The record is from RNAcentral. Lineage: Bacteria; Bacillati; Bacillota; Clostridia; Peptostreptococcales; Peptostreptococcaceae.